UCCCCAUUCGACCCGUCUUGUAACACGGACCAAGGAGUCUAACAUGCUUGCGAGUAUUUGGGUGUCAAACCCGGAUGCGCAAUGAAAGUGAAUGAAGGUGGGAUCCGCAAGGUGCACCAUCGACCGAUCUGGAUUUUUUAAGAUGGAUUUGAGUAAGAGCAAUUAUGUUGGGACCCGAAAGAUGGUGAACUAUGC
This 195-nucleotide ribosomal RNA is filed under the name Chattonella subsalsa. Its description in RNAcentral is "partial Eukaryotic large subunit ribosomal RNA". It matches the Rfam family "Eukaryotic large subunit ribosomal RNA", at positions 637 to 836 of the family's 3401-position model. Lineage: Eukaryota; Raphidophyceae; Chattonellales; Chattonellaceae. The record is from RNAcentral.